GACGAACGCUGGCGGCGUGCUUAACACAUGCAAGUCGAACGGAAAGGCCCUGCUUUUGUGGGGUGCUCGAGUGGCGAACGGGUGAGUAACACGUGAGUAACCUGCCCUUGACUUUGGGAUAACUUCAGGAAACUGGGGCUAAUACCGGAUAGGAGCUCCUGCUGCAUGGUGGGGGUUGGAAAGUUUCGGCGGUUGGGGAUGGACUCGCGGCUUAUCAGCUUGUUGGUGGGGUAGUGGCUUACCAAGGCUUUGACGGGUAGCCGGCCUGAGAGGGUGACCGGCCACAUUGGAACGGGGAUACGGCCCAGACUCCUACGGGAGGAAGAGGUGGGGAAUAUGGCACAAUGGGCGGAGGCCUGAUGCAGCAACGCCGCGUGGGGGAUGACGGCCUUCGGGUUGAAAACCGCUUUCGCCUGUGACGAGGCGUGAGUGACGGUAAUGGGUAAAGAGGCACCGGCUAACUACGU
This 467-nucleotide ribosomal RNA is filed under the name uncultured bacterium. RNAcentral's name for it is "partial 16S ribosomal RNA". It matches the Rfam family "Bacterial small subunit ribosomal RNA", at positions 28 to 506 of the family's 1533-position model. The record is from RNAcentral.